This is a long non-coding RNA of Jaculus jaculus (lesser Egyptian jerboa), 630 nucleotides long. RefSeq lists it as uncharacterized. The transcript has 3 exons. Lineage: Eukaryota; Metazoa; Chordata; Mammalia; Rodentia; Dipodidae. The record is from RefSeq and is a predicted model, not a curated record.
CAAGCCCGCGGAAGAGGUAAUACGACCUCUCUCGUUUUUGGAAGAGGAAACUGAGGCUUAGCAAGUUGACGUAACCCGCCCAACGUCAUGCAGUCAGGAAGGGCAGUUUCCACCGCUGGUCCCUGAUUCCAGCAUAUUGCAGGAUUGGACAAGCUCUUGAAGGUGAAGACGCCACAAACAUCGUGAGUCCAGAGAACGGGCAGCAAAGCUCAGCGGGCUGGUUCAUUCAUGUACAUUCAGCUCCACAGCCUCUUGAAAAAUGAUAGGCCCAAGAAGGAUUAACUGAGGGGGAAGACUCUCUGUCAGAGUCUCAGCUUGUAUCUGCAGGAUCCAAGGAAAAUCAGUGCUUUUUGUCUGGCUGCCAUUGCUACUUGCUGGUGAGUACAUUGGCCCUGUUGCCGCCGUCCUGAAUAGACAUCAGAACCCAGAUUCUGCAGCCUUCCAACACAGGAGGCCAGUGGCUCUGAAGGAAUCUACCAGGCCUUCAGUGCCAAAUUAGCACUAUCGAAACAUCCAGCUUCAGGGACUGAACAGCUACUGGGUUCUUGGAUUCCCCAGCCUGCAGACAGCCGUUGUUGAACUACCCAGCUCAUAUAAUGUAAGUCAAGGUAAUAAAUCACUUUUAUAGUA